RNAcentral lists this ribosomal RNA (124 nucleotides) under Lupinus angustifolius (narrow-leaved blue lupine). Lineage: Eukaryota; Viridiplantae; Streptophyta; Magnoliopsida; Fabales; Fabaceae. The record is from RNAcentral.
AUGUGAAACAAAGUCAAUUAGGCACAAAUGCACCGCAUCCCAACAGAAUUCCACAAUCAAGCGUGCUUGGGCGAGAGUAGUACUAGGAUGGGUUACCUCCUGGGAAGUCCUCGUGUUGCACCUC